This 485-nucleotide long non-coding RNA is filed under the name Olea europaea subsp. europaea. Lineage: Eukaryota; Viridiplantae; Streptophyta; Magnoliopsida; Lamiales; Oleaceae. The record is from RNAcentral.
GUCUUUUCUCUCUUCUCCAGUCGACCACUCUCUCCAUUUUUGCACCUUUUUGUCAGCUUCUUCUUGAGAGUCCCUUGAGAUAACUUAGGCCUGGAAUAGUGGCUAAGUAUAGGUGAACUUUCUCAAAGCUAGGUAGAAGGUUGGUGGCGGUUUCUAGCGAGGUUCUUUGCCUGUUUCUCUCUCUCUCUUUGGAAGGUGAUUUGCAUGACAUGGGAGCUGUUCCUAAGCCUAUAAAUCAGUCAUAAGGAAGAGGAGAAGUUGCUGUCCAUUUCAACCGAGAUUGGGUUGUGUUUUUCCAUUUUAUAUUCCUUGAUUUUGCCUUGGAAUCUUUUAUUGAUUGAUAUUUAUUGUUUGAUUGAACUCCAACGAUCCCAACAAGUGGUAUGCCCAGUAGAGUUUAUCACAAGAUUAAAGAAAGAAAAUAAAUGAAAUUUUACAUGAUCUAUAUGUUCUAUGUAAUAUUAAUGCGUGAAAUGUAACAAAAU